Molecule: ribosomal RNA, 634 nt
Filed under: Vermiculariopsis microsperma
Lineage: Eukaryota; Fungi; Ascomycota; Sordariomycetes; Vermiculariopsiellales; Vermiculariopsiellaceae
Description: eukaryotic LSU rRNA
Rfam family: Eukaryotic large subunit ribosomal RNA
Source: RNAcentral
AUAUCAAUAAGCGGAGGAAAAGAAACCAACAGGGAUUGCCCUAGUAACGGCGAGUGAAGCGGCAACAGCUCAAAUUUGAAAUCUGGCCUCGGCCCGAGUUGUAAUUUGUAGAGGAUGCUUUUGGCGCGGUGCCUUCUGAGUUCCCUGGAACGGGACGCCAGAGAGGGUGAGAGCCCCGUAUAGUCGGACACCAAGCCUUUGUAAAGCUCCUUCGACGAGUCGAGUAGUUUGGGAAUGCUGCUCAAAAUGGGAGGUAAAUUUCUUCUAAAGCUAAAUACCGGCCAGAGACCGAUAGCGCACAAGUAGAGUGAUCGAAAGAUGAAAAGCACUUUGAAAAGAGGGUUAAACAGCACGUGAAAUUGUUGAAAGGGAAGCGCUUAUGACCAGACUUGCGCCCAGUAAAUCAUCCAGCGUUCUCGCUGGUGCACUUUGCUGGGCUCAGGCCAGCAUCGGUUUUGGCAGGGGGAUAAAAGCAUCAGGAAUGUGACUCCUCCGGGAGUGUUAUAGCCUGGUGUAUAAUACCCUUGCCGGGACCGAGGUACGCGCUCCGCAAGGAUGCUGGCGUAAUGGUUAUCAGCGACCCGUCUUGAAACACGGACCAAGGAGUGAAUGUCUUCAGCGAGUGUUUGGGUGU